Phascolarctos cinereus (koala) is the source of this 1837-nucleotide long non-coding RNA. NCBI's taxonomy places the organism in Eukaryota, Metazoa, Chordata, Mammalia, Diprotodontia, Phascolarctidae. The record is from Ensembl.
CUGGGUUCAAAGGGGACACAAAGGGAAUUUUAAUUACUUUUAUUGUUUUUCCUCUCACAACAGCCCUGUGAGGUAGGUAGGCACAUCUCUGAUUCAGGUGAUGUGGCACCCUUCACCCUAACCCCAGUUCCUCAUCCUAUUUCCAUUUAAGGAAAACAAUGCCUGAGAUGCCUCUACCCUCCCCCCCCAAUAUUGCUUAUAGGAUGGGUUCGAGGAAAUCAUGUACCUUUCAUCUCCAUCCUCUACCCCAUCUCCAAGCCACAUAGUCAUGUGAUGAUGGGGUGACCCAUUUAAAAAGGGGGUAUGAUUAAAAGCUACUCUUUUUAGUGAUGCUUCCUUUAAUCAGGUCAUCUACCCUGACUAGCCUUGAGGGGAGGUUAUCUUGAGUCUCCCAAGGAUUAAAGAGGGGAAGGAGAUUUGAUGUUGAGUAGGACAGUGGUAGAAAAGAAGAAGGAAGUGAUUAUUUAAUUAGAACAUUAAAAUUUCACAGUUCCCCCAUGACCUCUUCCCUCCCCAUCCCAAGCAUGGCUAUUCGCCCCCAAACAGAAAAUUUUUUUCUAUCCUCAAGAGGCAGAAAAACAGCAGAGAAAAGAUCAGCACCCCAGGAAGCUUGGAGGAGCACCCAUAGGAGGCUGGCGGAGACACCCACCCACAGAACCCCUCGACUGAUGGCUAGGCCAGCAGAAGCAUCUGUCUCCACCUUCCCGUUGCAUCUAUUUGACUGGCAGCAGGCAACGGAAAUGGCAUGUCCAUCAGUUGAAAUGGUGCUGUUUGGACACGUCGGGGCACAGGACUUCAUCACCAGGAUAUGGUUUGGGUUGAUUGAGUUGACUGGAAUUGGAAGAGAAGAAAGAAAAGAGAUGGGUGAGGAAUGUUUGAAGAAAAAAGACAACAACCAGACCCUAGAGACCCCAUGGGGAAGAGAAGACAAAGGAAAUGACCAGGGAAUGUGCAGUGGGAUUAGGCCACUGCAGAGCUGAGAUGGGAAGCAGCUAAGGGGCCAGUAUCUCAAGGCAGAAAAGGUACGUGGCAGUACUGUCCAGUACUCAGGGAAAUGUCAGUGAUUAUUAUCAAGCUCCAAGUUCUUCUGGCCUCUGACCCAAAGUUCCCAGAGUUGCUAAUGGAUGAGGUCUUACAUUCCAAACAUGCAGAUGCUCAUACAUCUGAUUCACUGAUUCCAUCAUCGUUCAUCUCCCCCAAGUAUGGGGGAGAAGCCACUGCUGUCCCUAUUUCUCAAGGGAAGAGCUGAGGGUUGGUGACUUUGCCCAAUAUCACAUAGCAUGUCAGUCUUUGUUGAAGCAGGGUUAGAUCCCUGCUCCAUUUUCUCAAGCAAGAAACUGAGGCCCAGAGAGGUUAAAUUAAUUAUCCAAGGUCACAUAGCUAGCAAGUAAACAGCAGAGACAGGAUUUGAAACCAUGGACAUAUUUACCAAGGGGAGUUUGAGGGACCAAUUACAAAGCCAGACAGGGAAGAGAUUCUAUUCUUACUAAAGGAAUAUGAUUGAACUGAGGCAGAGCUGUGGGGUGUGGGGAGUUUCAAUCUGCCAGCUCAAUAUAUAGCAGUAUAAUCUUAAAGUAGACCCAGAAGAGAUUAGUGGUGAAGCCUGACACUGCGAUGUUUGCAUAGCCUCCUGUCACCUCUCUGUAAUACUGUAUGCUAUUGCAAAAAGCAAAAGAACAGCACAAAGCAUGAUACUUCACUGCAUCAAUGAAGAGUGAUGUAGGGAGCUUACAGUCGUUUGCACAGAAUUGUCUAAUCCUUUUUUCACCAUCUUUUCUUUCUGUAAAAAGAAAAGAGGAAAAAUAAAGAUUUCAGUGAUCAUGGGAGGCUUUCUCUU